AGCCUAAGAACUUGAGUGUGACGGUCUUAUCCCGGGAGGGAUUUCCUGAUACCCUAGGCUUGUAAGGGUGGAAAUACUCUUUUCGGAAAGUGGUGCCCACGAUUCCGUCUUAAUCCUAGAUCUCUUCUUCUAUCAACGCUCGAACGAUUGCAACUUGGAACCUCAUAAGCCAACAGCAAUGUUACAAAUAAGCGUAUUACUUUUGUCGUCGCCGUAUUACUUUUGUAAAUCAAUCUGUCCAAACACCCUCUUAUUUUAAUUAUCUUUGGCAUUUGCAGCCAGUGGUAGAUUUGGUACUGUGCAAGGGUAUAAAGAAGAGCAACAAAACUAAAGCAGCAACGAAGCGAAGUAAUAAUAAGAAGGCGAAAACUGUAUCAGUAUCGCAGCAGCCGUCCGAUGAAAACGAGAACACUAUUACUCCUGCGCCAUUGCAAACGGCAGAAGAAUCGCCCGCAAUUUGCCAAAUGGAUUAUGAGUUUGGAAACCAAGACACGAUAACUCCGAAUAGUCAGUCACCAUCAAUAGUGUUCAUUUAUUGUUCAUUGUUGUCAUUGGUUGAUUUAUUGUUCAUUGUUGUAAUUCACUAGUAAUCCUACGGUUCUUAAAGAGUAUAGAUUAAGUUGGAGCAUUGGUGCUAUUGCUGUAUUAUUUCUUUUCCCUAUCCCUGCACUCCGCAGUCUGUAUUAAGCUUUUGGAUUUUCUGUAUUUCAAUUCGAAUUCACGUAUUCAGAACAGAAUUCUCCUGAGUUGAAUGGACGUAAGACCACAAAUUUGAG
RNAcentral lists this long non-coding RNA (776 nucleotides) under Linum usitatissimum (flax). RNAcentral describes it as "long non-coding RNA (LUSI_LNC008041)". Lineage: Eukaryota; Viridiplantae; Streptophyta; Magnoliopsida; Malpighiales; Linaceae. The record is from RNAcentral.